Molecule: ribosomal RNA, 870 nt
Filed under: Haplaxius skarphion
Lineage: Eukaryota; Metazoa; Arthropoda; Insecta; Hemiptera; Cixiidae
Description: eukaryotic LSU rRNA
Rfam family: Eukaryotic large subunit ribosomal RNA
Source: RNAcentral
CAACUCACCUGCCGAAGCAACUAGCCNNGAAAAUGGAUGGCGCUCUAGCGUCGUGCCUAUACCGGGCCGUCAACGGCAAAGUUGGUUUCGUAUGGAGCCGUUAAGCCUUGACGAGUAGGAGGGUCGCGGCGGUGUGCGCAGAAGGGUCAGGGCGUGAGCCCGCCNGGAGCCGCCGUCGGCGCAGAUCUUGGUGGUAGUAGCAAAUACUCUAGCGAGGGCCUGGAGGACUGACGUGGAGAAGGGUUUCUUGUGAACAGCCGUUGCACAAGAGUCAGUCGACCCUAAGCCCUAGGAGAAAUCCGAUGUUGAUGGGUGGCUAAACAAGAAUCCAUGUUCUGAUGUUACUAACCAAACGUUUAAAGCAAAUUCCAAAACAAACUGACCGUUUUCCAUGCUUAAGCUUGGACGGUUCUUCUGUGGCGGACUUGUUUGACGAUUGGGCUCAACUAACCCCACAUUCACUUGGCCCUUCAGCUGAAGGCAAGGCGGAUCGUGAGAGGCUUGUUGACAAACUAUGUGACAACAGCUCCUGUCGGGCAAAAGGGAAUCCGGUUCCUAUUCCGGAACCCGGCUGCGGAACCGUCAUUUAGCGGGCACUCGCCUGCGAGCGCUCGUCGGGGUAACCCAACCUGGCCCGGAGACGCUGGCGGGGGGUCUGGAAAGAGUUUUCUUUUCUUUAUAAGCGUUCGAGUACCCUGGAAUCCUAUAGCAGGGAGAUAGGGUUUGGAACGCGAAGAGCACCGCAGUUGCGGCGGUGUCCGGACCUUCCCCCCGGACCUUGAAAAUCCGGGUGAGGGCUACGUGUAAGUCGCGCCGGAUCGUACCCAUAUCCGCAGCAGGUCUCCAAGGUUAAGAGCCUCUAGUCGAUAG